GCCAUCUACGUGGAUAGAUAAGGCAAGGAUAAGAAGAUCUUUACUCUCAUUGGCUAUAGGUCAUGACCAAUGGGCUUCAAGGGGCUGUCCGAGAGAAAACCGGAAGAGAGGCCACUUAUUCUGGAGAUUUCGAGGGUUUAGAGGAGAGAUUCAGAAAGCUUGUGUUUUGGGCUAUAAUUUUGGUGUAUAAAGUUUGUUAUUUGAGUUUUGUAUGAAGAAGUCAAGGUUGUUUGAAGUUAGGGUGUGAAUUGUUACCGAUUUUCACUCUUUAAGCAUACAGAAAGUUGUAGAAGGUUUUCUAGAAAACUAAAGGUGUCGUUGGAAAGCUCGUUUGAAGGACUACAAUUUUCGUGAAAGAGUUGUUAACUUUGAGUCAGCAAUGAGAGAGUUAUGGCUGUUUAAAGACUGGAUGUGAAAUUAGUACCUACUGUCACUCUUUCAAGCAUACAAAGAGUUGUAGAAAGACAUUUAACAAUCGAAAGGUGGAGUUGGAAAGUUGACUUGAACGGCUUUAACUAUUGUGCAAAAUUUGAUGAAAUCAGAUCUGAAGUGAGGAAGAAAUGGCUGGUCGAAGUCAGAGCUUGCAAAUUAAGGAAGUAAGUGAACUGAAUUGUUGAUGGUUAUGUUUUGAGCCAUUUUCUUUGAGCAUUUUGAAUGAAUUUUGGCUCAAACUUGCCAAAGGUGUAGUUAUAAUAUUCAGAAGCUACACAAAAAAAAAAUCAUGUCAUUUGAGUUUGGAUUUGUAAGAAAUCGCAAAAUCAGUAUAUAGGUGUUUGUAAGUCAACAUGUAAAGGCCGUGCUACUGAAAUUGGAUUAUCUAGAGUUUUGUAAAAAAUCG
This 838-nucleotide long non-coding RNA is filed under the name Physcomitrium patens. RNAcentral describes it as "long non-coding RNA (PPAT_LNC006394)". The record is from RNAcentral. Lineage: Eukaryota; Viridiplantae; Streptophyta; Bryopsida; Funariales; Funariaceae.